RNAcentral lists this ribosomal RNA (392 nucleotides) under uncultured bacterium. RNAcentral's name for it is "partial 16S ribosomal RNA". It matches the Rfam family "Bacterial small subunit ribosomal RNA", at positions 523 to 918 of the family's 1533-position model. The record is from RNAcentral.
AUACGGAGGAUCCGAGCGUUAUCCGGAUUUAUUGGGUUUAAAGGGUGCGCAGGCGGCCAUUUAAGUCAGCGGUUAAAUCGUGGGGCUCAACCCCAUUCUGCCGUUGAUACUGGGUGGCUUGAUUGCGGUCGAGGUUGGCGGAAUUCGUUGUGUAGCGGUGAAAUGCAUAGAUAUGACGAAGAACACCGAUUGCGUAGGCAGCUGACCAGACCGCAAAUGACGCUCAUGCACGAAAGUGCGGGGAUCGAACAGUAUUAGAUACCCUGGUAGGCCGCACAGUAAACGAUGAAUACUUGUUUUCGGCGAUAUAAUGUCGGAGGCAAAGCGAAAGCGAUAAGUAUUCCACCUGGGGAGUACGCCGGCAACGGUGAAACUCAAAGGAAUUGACGGGG